RNAcentral lists this ribosomal RNA (253 nucleotides) under uncultured bacterium. RNAcentral describes it as "partial 16S ribosomal RNA". It matches the Rfam family "Bacterial small subunit ribosomal RNA", at positions 524 to 776 of the family's 1533-position model. The record is from RNAcentral.
UACGUAGGGUGCAAGCGUUGUCCGGAAUUAUUGGGCGUAAAGAGCUCGUAGGCGGUCUGUCGCGUCUGCUGUGAAAACUCGGGGCUUAACCCCGGGCCUGCAGUGGGUACGGGCAGACUAGAGUGCGGUAGGGGAGACUGGAAUUCCUGGUGUAGCGGCGAAAUGCGCAGAUAUCAGGAGGAACACCGGUGGCGAAGGCGGGUUGCUGGGCUGAUACUGACGCUGAGGCGCGAAAGCGUGGGGAGCAAACAGG